UACAUGGGGUGCAAACGUUGCUCGGAAUUAUUGGGCGUAAAGCGCACGUAGGCGGUUUGUUAAGUCGGAUGUGAAAUCCCUCGGCUCAACUGAGGAAGUGCAUCCGAAACUGGCAGGCUUGAGUACUAAAGAGGGUCGCGGAAUUCCCGGUGUAGAGGUGAAAUUCGUAGAUAUCGAGAGGAACACCGGUGGCGAAGGCGGGUCUCUGGGCCGAUACUGACGCUGAGGAGCGAAAGCGUGGGGAGCGAACAGG
RNAcentral lists this ribosomal RNA (253 nucleotides) under uncultured bacterium. RNAcentral describes it as "partial 16S ribosomal RNA". It matches the Rfam family "Bacterial small subunit ribosomal RNA", at positions 524 to 776 of the family's 1533-position model. The record is from RNAcentral.